This 485-nucleotide ribosomal RNA is filed under the name uncultured bacterium. RNAcentral's name for it is "partial 16S ribosomal RNA". It matches the Rfam family "Bacterial small subunit ribosomal RNA", at positions 30 to 507 of the family's 1533-position model. The record is from RNAcentral.
AUUGAACGCUGGCGGCAGGCUUAACACAUGCAAGUCGAGCGGAGAUGAGGUGCUUGCACCUUAUCUUAGCGGCGGACGGGUGAGUAAUGCUUAGGAAUCUGCCAUUUAGUGGGGGACAACAUUCCGAAAGGAAUGCUAAUACCGCAUACGUCCUACGGGAGAAAGCAGGGGAUCUUCGGACCUUGCGCUAAAUGAUGAGCCUAAGUCGGAUUAGCUAGUUGGUGGGGUAAAGGCCUACCAAGGCGACGAUCUGUAGCGGGUCUGAGAGGAUGAUCCGCCACACUGGGACUGAGACACGGCCCAGACUCCUACGGGAGGCAGCAGUGGGGAAUAUUGGACAAGAGGGGGAACCCUGAUCCAGCCAUGCCGCGUGUGUGAAGAAGGCCUUAUGGUUGUAAAGCACUUUAAGCGAGGAGGAGGCUACUGAGACUAAUACUCUUGGAUAGUGGACGUUACUCGCAGAAUAAGCACCGGCUAACUCUGUG